GGAGUUAGCCGGUGCUUCUUCUGUGAGUGAUGUCCUUCCUGCCGGUUAUUGACCCGCAGGCCUUCUUCCUCACUGAAAGUGCUUUACAACCCGAAGGCCUUCUUCACACACGCGGCAUGGCUGGAUCAGGGUUGCCCCCAUUGUCCAAUAUUCCCCACUGCUGCCUCCCGUAGGAGUCUGGGCCGUGUCUCAGUCCCAGUGUGGCUGAUCAUCCUCUCAGACCAGCUACGGAUCGUCGCCUUGGUGAGCCGUUACCUCACCAACCAGCUAAUCCGACAUAGGCUCAUCCGAUAGCGCGAGGCCCGAAGGUCCCCCGCUUUCCCCCGUAGGGCGUAUGCGGUAUUAGCCUGGGUUUCCCCAGGUUAUCCCCCACUACCGGGCAGAUUCCUAUGCAUUACUCACCCGUCCGCCGCUCGCCACCAGGGAGCAAGCUCCCCGUGCUGCCGCUCGACUUGCAUGUGUUAGGCCUCGCCGCCACGCGUUCAAUCUGAGCCAGGAUACAAACUACUCGA
This 512-nucleotide ribosomal RNA is filed under the name uncultured bacterium. RNAcentral's name for it is "partial 16S ribosomal RNA". The record is from RNAcentral.